Molecule: long non-coding RNA, 1000 nt
Filed under: Homo sapiens (human)
Lineage: Eukaryota; Metazoa; Chordata; Mammalia; Primates; Hominidae
Description: HSALNT0343670
Source: RNAcentral
CAACAAAAAUAUUUUCAAACGGGUUUCCCCCAUAGUGCAGCAUUGAAACAGAGUUACUGUGAAUACAGAAGACUGUCUAUCCCACAGCAGGCAAUGCAAUUAAAGACUUCAGAGAAUGCCAGAUUUUUCAGAAUGCAUCAUAGAAUUUUCAAAGCUGUAAGAAAGAGGUGAGGAUGCUGAGAUGUAGAGAGACUGAUUUGCUCAAGAUAACAAAGAGUUUUAUUGAUUUGGGAACCCAUGGAAGGGGGUCAGCUGUGAGAUAUCACAUGAUCAGACUGACUGCCUGACCAGACUGACUGCCAUCCUGUUAAAGGAAUGAAUCACAGUUCAUCUCGCAGAUUUAUGGCAUGCCUACAGAAAAAGUACCUUAUGAUGCAAACCUGAAAGUUUAAAUAAUCUCCUGAAAGUUCCACAAUCAGAUGAGAAAACUGAGGUUCAAAGAAGAUUAUCAUUCCUGUGAAACCUCCCCCCAAAAUCCAUGUUAUCAUCCUUUUGAAUAAUACUGGAGUAAUUUCUGUAUCCAUAAAAGAUGGUGAAUCCUUUUUAGAUAAAUUAUUUAGUUAUGAAAUAAAGGCAAAGGGAUUGAAUUUAACAGGGGCUUGACUUGCUAAGGUCUGGGCCUCUUUUCUAAUGACCCUGCUGAAUAUUACGGGAAACUAUUUUAGAAGCAAUAGGAAUUCAGCUUCAUAGCAUCAGAGAACCUUCUAAGGGGCAGAAUUGAGGGCUUCACUAAGGGAUUAGCUUUAAAAAAAGUGCAAACUAAAAAUUUCAUUUGGAAAUUAGUAGAAUUUCAAGAGAUUCAAGAUCUUCUAAGUUGGUUGUGAUUGCAGAAGAGUGAGGGAAUAGGUAGAGCCUCAGAGAUGGUAACAGGGCUUUGAGAUAUUUGAGAGUGCUACAGUUGUCUAGAGGCCUAAAUUGAAGUUACUUAGUUGUGUGGUGAUAUGGUUCAGCUGUGUCCCCACCCAAAUCUCAUCUUGAAUUGUAGUUCCCAUAAUCCCCA